RNAcentral lists this non-coding RNA (231 nucleotides) under Streptomyces sp. CdTB01. Its description in RNAcentral is "Streptomyces sRNA 4677". It matches the Rfam family "Streptomyces sRNA 4677". Rfam says of the family: Located in the intergenic region between anti-sigma factor SCO4677 gene and a putative regulatory protein gene SCO4676. scr4677 expression requires the SCO4677 activity and scr4677 sRNA itself seem to affect the levels of the SCO4676-associated transcripts. Lineage: Bacteria; Bacillati; Actinomycetota; Actinomycetes; Kitasatosporales; Streptomycetaceae. The record is from Rfam by way of RNAcentral.
CGUUCCGGCGGCACGAAACGUCUCUUUUCCCAACAAACAACCCGGUGAAAGAACCCCCGCCAAACCAAACCCCAGCCCCUCACCCGCCCGGGUGAACAUCGCCAACUCGGCUGGCUUUUGCCCUGGUUGCCUGCCCUACUCUCGGCGCAAUACAACCGCACAUACAACGGCCCUCGCAGGGACUGGCAUCCCGAUGCGAGGGCCUGACCACCGAGGAACCAACACUUCCUG